AUCAGUAUAGUGUAGUAGUUUGAGCAUUAGACUGUGACUCUGAAGAGCAGGGUUCAAAUCCCUGUUCAGCCC
Phrynosoma platyrhinos (Desert horned lizard) is the source of this 72-nucleotide non-coding RNA. The record is from the annotation of a GenBank genome assembly. Lineage: Eukaryota; Metazoa; Chordata; Lepidosauria; Squamata; Phrynosomatidae.